RNAcentral lists this ribosomal RNA (1247 nucleotides) under Candidatus Phytoplasma pruni. RNAcentral describes it as "bacterial SSU rRNA". It matches the Rfam family "Bacterial small subunit ribosomal RNA", at positions 153 to 1399 of the family's 1533-position model. The record is from RNAcentral. Lineage: Bacteria; Bacillati; Mycoplasmatota; Mollicutes; Acholeplasmatales; Acholeplasmataceae.
GAAACGACUGCUAAGACUGGAUAGGAAAAGUAAAGGCAUCUUCACUUUUUUAAAAGACCUUCUUUGAAGGUAUACUUAAGGAGGGGCUUGCGACACAUUAGUUAGUUGGCAGGGUAAAGGCCUACCAAGACUAUGAUGUGUAGCUGGACUGAGAGGUUGAACAGCCACAUUGGGACUGAGACACGGCCCAAACUCCUACGGGAGGCAGCAGUAGGGAAUUUUCGGCAAUGGAGGAAACUCUGACCGAGCAACACCGCGUGAACGAUGAAGUAUUUCGGUAUGUAAAGUUCUUUUAUUAAGGAAGAAAAAAGAGUGGAAAAACUCCCUUGACGGUACUUAAUGAAUAAGCCCCGGCUAAUUAUGUGCCAGCAGCCGCGGUAAUACAUAAGGGGCGAGCGUUAUCCGGAAUUAUUGGGCGUAAAGGGUGCGUAGGCGGUUUAAUAAGUCUAUAGUUUAAUUUCAGUGCUUAACGCUGUUAUGCUAUAGAAACUGUUUUACUAGAGUGAGAUAGAGGCAAGCGGAAUUCCAUGUGUAGCGGUAAAAUGCGUAAAUAUAUGGAGGAACACCAGAGGCGUAGGCGGCUUGCUGGGUCUUUACUGACGCUGAGGCACGAAAGCGUGGGGAGCAAACAGGAUUAGAUACCCUGGUAGUCCACGCCGUAAACGAUGAGUACUAAGUGUCGGGUAAAACCGGUACUGAAGUUAACACAUUAAGUACUCCGCCUGAGUAGUACGUACGCAAGUAUGAAACUUAAAGGAAUUGACGGGAUUCCGCACAAGCGGUGGAUCAUGUUGCUUAAUUCGAAGAUACACGAAAAACCUUACCAGGUCUUGACAUUUUCUUGCGAAGUUAUAGAAAUAUAAUGGAGGUUAUCAGGAAAACAGGUGGUGCAUGGUUGUCGUCAGCUCGUGUCGUGAGAUGUUAGGUUAAGUCCUAAAACGAGCGCAACCCUUGUCGUUAAUUGCCAGCAUGUAAUGAUGGGGACUUUAACGAGACUGCCAAUGAAAAAUUGGAGGAAGGUGGGGAUUACGUCAAAUCAUCAUGCCCCUUAUGAUCUGGGCUACAAACGUGAUACAAUGGUUGAUACAAAGAGUAGCUGAAACGCGAGUUCUUAGCCAAUCUCACAAAAUCAAUCUCAGUUCGGAUUGAAGUCUGCAACUCGACUUCAUGAAGUUGGAAUCGCUAGUAAUCGCGAAUCAGCAUGUCGCGGUGAAUACGUUCUCGGGGUUUGUACACACCGCCCGUCA